Molecule: long non-coding RNA, 2028 nt
Filed under: Sus scrofa (pig)
Lineage: Eukaryota; Metazoa; Chordata; Mammalia; Artiodactyla; Suidae
Description: lncRNA (ENSSSCG00015076984.1)
Source: RNAcentral
GAGCCUGGAGAGGCUUCUGGUCCUGGGGGUGGUGCCCUGAAUGUGGAGUCGCAAAACCCUAACACCUGUUCCAGAUCUGCGGGGCAGCAUCAGAUAAGCAAACUAAGGCUUGGAGAGCUGAGAGCUGAGAUCACAGGCCGAGGCUGUAAGAGGGAAGGUGGGACCAGAAAGAAUCCACAUUGCUCUCACCACCUCAAGAACUCUGAGGGCUGUGCUCACCGCUGUUCUGAAGCAUCACUUCCGCUCUGAAGAUCAGGGCAGCCCGAUUUCCCACGCGAGAGCGGAUAGGUACUGUUCCAACAUUCAACAAUUCCAUGUUAGAAAUACACUUGAAUUUGCACGCUGGAAAUUUUGAGAGGUAGUGGGGCCCCUGUGCCUGGAGUUGGGAGCACCUGAGCUGAGGAAGUGUAGAUAUGAAAAAGGACACGUGAGGACCGCUGAGCGGUUGGCGUAAAUGAAUCACCAUGUUACUUUUACGUUUUAAUAGCAGGAAAACGUCUUCUCUUCUCAGGCCCUCUUGUUAGGUUGGAGGACUAAGGUAGGCGGGCACAUGUGGGUUACAGUGAUGUGUGUCAGAGCAAGACAGUGCUGCCGCUCCCAGUGCAGGGGUGCCAGCCUCCUGGACACUUCCUGGCUUGUUCACAAGCUCUUUGCAAUCAGAAAGCCGCAGCACCGACCCACAGGGCUGCCCAAGACCCUGGGGCACAACUUUCUUCAGAUCUUGUUUCUUUUUUAUUUAUUUUUUUCUGUUUUUUUAGGGCUGCCCCUGGGAUCUGAGCCAUGUCUGUGACCUACCCCACAGCUCACGACCAUGCUGGAUCCUUAACCAACUGAGCAAGGAGAGGGAUCGACCCCUCACCCUCCUGGAUACUAGUGGUUGGGUUCAUUACCGCCGAGCCACGACAGGAACUUCUCUUUAGUUCUUGUUUCAUUCAUUCAUUCAUUCAUUCAUUCAUUUACUUAUUUAUUAUGGCCCCAGAGUGGCUUAUGGAAGUUCCUCGGCCAGGGGCCUGAAUCCACAGCCACGCCAGAUCCUUUAACCCACUGCUCCGGGAUGGGAAUUGAACCCACGCCUCUGCAGUGACUGGAGCUGCUGCAGUCGGAUUCUUAACCCACUGUGUCACAGCAGAAACUCCUUGUUUCCUUGAUUUAAGUCCUCUUGUCUCCCCUCAUGACCGGCAGAGCUCUUCCUCCUGCUGCCCUGACCUGCUUCGAGGUCAGAUGCUAUGACACCUCCUCCAGGAAGCCCUUCCUGGUUUCCACUGCCUGCAGAGACCCCAGUCUUCGGAAAGUCCCAGAGCCUGCCUCUCAGAGCCUCUCGUCUGGCUUUCAGGGUGCAAAGCCCCUCCUCCCAAAGGUGCCAUGUCCCCACAGGGCACUCCCGCCCAGUUCAGCCUCCGCCCUGGCCCCUGUGAGACUCCCCAGCACCAGCAGGAUAAAUCACCCUCUUCUCUGGGCUAGGCUGGGCCUUUGGGUUUGUUCUGUUGCCCCCUCGUUCCGCAUCUGCCUCCUGCGGGCUGGUCAUCACGCAGACGGGAUUGAAGAAGGCAUGUCCCCCCGGCCUCCCUCUCAGGGUGGAGCAGCCAUCAUUCCUGGUGCUCAGCUGCCCGGAAGUCUCCCUUUCAUCCUCAUGAUGGUUAAUUUCAUGUGUCCACUUGCCUGGGCUAAGGGAUGUCCAGACAGCUGGUCACACAUCACUUCUGGGUGUGUCUGUGUGGAAGGUUCCAGAAGAGAGGAGCACUGGAAUCGAUGGACUGAGUGAAGAAGUAGAUGGGCAUCACCCGUUCCCCGAGGACGCAAACAGAACAUAAAGAUGAGCCACGUGCUCUCUGAGCUGGGACCUCCGCCUUCUGCUUUUGGGCAUCACGCUUCUAAGCUCCGCAGAACUUUAGACCCAGACUGAAUUCUACCACCCACUUUCCUGCUUCUCCAGCUUGCAGAUGACAGACUGCGGGGGUUUGGAGCCUCAUAAUUGCAGGAACUAAUUCUUGUACUAAAUGUAUAUAAAAUGUAUGUUUAUAUAGAAAA